UACGUAGGGUGCAAGCGUUAAUCGGAAUUACUGGGCGUAAAGCGUGCGCAGGCGGUUUGUUAAGUCUGUUGUGAAAUCCCCGAGCUCAACUUGGGAAUUGCAAUGGAUACUGGCAGGCUCGAGUAUGGUAGAGGAAGGUGGAAUUCCCGGUGUAGCAGUGAAAUGCGUAGAGAUCGGGAGGAACACCAGUGGCGAAGGCGGCCUUCUGGACCAAUACUGACGCUCAUGCACGAAAGCGUGGGGAGCAAACAGG
This 253-nucleotide ribosomal RNA is filed under the name uncultured bacterium. RNAcentral describes it as "partial 16S ribosomal RNA". It matches the Rfam family "Bacterial small subunit ribosomal RNA", at positions 524 to 776 of the family's 1533-position model. The record is from RNAcentral.